Molecule: long non-coding RNA, 2420 nt
Organism: Ruditapes philippinarum (Manila clam)
Lineage: Eukaryota; Metazoa; Mollusca; Bivalvia; Venerida; Veneridae
Exons: 4
Source: RefSeq, a predicted model, not a curated record
GAAAAUUAACUGCUGUAUGAUUGGGUCUCCAAACCGCUUUCAUCUCAUGCAGGCACUAAUUACUUGGCACCCGCUAAAAGUUCAAAGCGUUUAUGCGGCGACGGACGAAUCGACACGAUAAUUUAGGGGUAGUCACCAUACACGGCAAACUCAUCAGUAAAUUCCCGCCAUUUAUAUCAUAAUUGAACAUUUAAGUACUAAAAUAAAAACUUCAAAUGUAUUCAUUCAUAAAAAUACACUAGAUGUUCCUAAAAUUGUAAUCAAACUGUACAAUGAUUUAAAAGUUGUAGAGCUAACACCCCAAUAAAAACGUAAACAUUGAAUCGUCCAGUAAUCUGGGUCAUCGUCUGCUAAUGUACUGAUCACACUCGCCUCGGAUGUGAUACGCACACAAUAACAGUAUGUAUAGGUCAUAUUUUAUUUUAAAAAUUUUAAAAUUAAAACGUGAAGAUGAUGUGGCGUUUGAAAGAAGAUAUUGAUUCGGAUACUUUGUACAAUAACGAUGAGGAAAUCGGCGCUAGUAGGCCCUACAGGUCUGUGUCCGCCCUGAAGAAGAUCUUCAUUUUUUGAAGGUGAAGCUACAAUAUUUGUCUUGAACUUGACUUUACUAGCUGGGCUUAUAAAGACAAGAUAUCCAGAAGUGAUUUCAUAGAGAAAUGGAAAUCAAUAAUACCUAGAAGCAUGUGAAGUGGAGAUGAAGUGAUGCUGAGAACUUUCAAGGAAACUUCUCAGUGAAGUCCGAUGAUGGCACACAAGAGUACCUUCUUCAUGUUCUUCAUGGGAUAAAGCACAGGAUCAUUAUAAUCAGGAGUUACUCACAGGAUCAUUAUAAUCAGGAGUUACUAGUACUCAGUCAACAUAGACUCAAUUUUAGAAAAGAAUUAAAUGGAUAUUAAUGUUAGCCUAAAAAUAUUUGACCUAGAGUCUUUAGUUUGUGUUGGGGCACCCAUGUCCUUUGGAUACUUUUCUAGUUACAAUUUAAUUAGACAUUAGUGUAAAUACAACAAAAUUAAUUAUUUAAUGCUGUUCAUGUUUGAACUAUGUUUUAAUCUUACCUACAUGUAUAAAAAUCAAACAUUUUUAGCUCGACUAUUUGAUAAGAAUAAGUAUAGCUAUUGUAGUCACCCGAGUGGCGGCGUAACCUCCUAUGUUAAAGUUUUUGUAAUACCACAAAUAUUUUCAAAGUCCGUUAUUAAGAUUUUUCUUGUUAUAAAUAAAUGUUCCGCCGGCAGAACAGAAUCACUUAUGAUUAUAUCCUAUGUUUAAAUUGAUGUUAUCAUAUUUAUGUUCCGUCAGCAGAACAAUUUCAAAUCAAUUUUAUUAAAUGAUAUUCUUUCUGAAUUAUAUUUUUAAUUAAACCUAAAAAGGUUGUUAAGAAUUUUCUUGUUAUAAAUAAAUGUUCCGCCGGCAGAACAGAAUCACUUAUGAUUAUAUCCUAUGUUUAAAUUGAUGUUAUCAUAUUUAUGUUCCGUCAGCAGAACAAUUUCAAAUCAAUUUUAUUAAAUGAUAUUCUUUCUGAAUUAUAUUUUUAAUUAAACCUAAAAAGGUUGUUAAGAAUUUUCUUGUUAUAAAUAAAUGUUCCGCCGGCAGAACAGAAUCACUUAUGGUUAUAUCCUAUGUUUAAAUUGAUGUUAUCAAACUUAUGUUCCGCCGGCAGAACAAUUUCAAAUCAAUUUUAUUAAAUGAUAUUCUUUCUGAAUUAUAUUUUUGAUUAAACCUAAAAAGGUUAUUAAGAUUUUUCUUGUUAUAAAUAAAUGUUCCGCCGGCAGAACAGAAUCACUUAUGGUUAUAUCCUAUGUUUAAAUUGAUGUUAUCAAACUUAUGUUCCGCCAGCAGAACAAUUUCAAAUCAAUUUUUAUUAAAUGAUAUUCUUUCUGAGUUAUAUUUUUGAUUAAACCUAAAAGGUUAUUAAGAUUUUUCUUGUUAUAAAUAAAUGUUCCGCCGGCAGAACAGAAUCACUUAUGGUUAUAUCCUAUGUUUAAAUUGAUGUUAUCAAACUUAUGUUCCGCCAGCAGAACAAUUUCAAAUCAAUUUUUAUUAAAUGAUAUUCUUUCUGAAUUAUAUUUUUGAUUAAACCUAAAAAGGUUGUUAAGAAUUUUAAUAUAUUGUAAUAAGUAAAUGUUCUGCCGGCGGAACAGGAUUAUUUAUGAAUUUAUAAAUUUUUCCUUUGCGUUAGAGUGAAUCAUAUUUCUGUUCUGCUGGCGAAACAAUUUCAAAUGAUUACAUUAUUUGAUUUUAAUUUAAGAAAUAUAUUUUUGACAAAAUUUUGCAAAGGUGUUAAAAAUUGUAUCUUGUAGUAAAUAAAUGUUCCGCCGGCAGAACAGAAUCACCUACGGUUAUAUCCUAUAGAUGUUUAAAUUGAUGUUAUCAUACUUUUGUUCCGCCGGCAGAACAAUUUCAAAUCAAUUUUAUUAAAUGAU